Molecule: ribosomal RNA, 369 nt
Filed under: uncultured bacterium
Lineage: Bacteria
Description: bacterial SSU rRNA
Rfam family: Bacterial small subunit ribosomal RNA
Source: RNAcentral
ACGGAGGGUGCAAGCGUUAUCCGGAUUCACUGGGUUUAAAGGGUGCGUAGGCGGGCAGGUAAGUCAGUGGUGAAAUCCCCGAGCUUAACUCGGGAACUGCCGUUGAUACUAUCUGUCUUGAAUGUCGUGGAGGUGGGCGGAAUAUGUCAUGUAGCGGUGAAAUGCUUAGAUAUGACAUAGAACACCAAUUGCGAAGGCAGCUCGCUACACGAUGAUUGACGCUGAGGCACGAAAGCGUGGGGAUCAAACAGGAUUAGAUACCCUGGUAGUCCACGCCCUAAACGAUGAUUACUCGACAUCAGCGAUACACUGUUGGUGUCUGAGCGAAAGCAUUAAGUAAUCCACCUGGGAAGUACGACCGCAAGGUUG